ACCGCGCCGAGUCUGCCCCGAGUUCUGUCAUCUCCCCGUGGCGAACUUUUCAGUACGUGCGGGGGGAGAUAAAUGUCCCCUUGUUUUCAGGAGCUAAGUCUCGAGUGAGUCUUUCCUAAAUGCUAAUGUAGGGAGUGUAGGUUCCAUCUUUUACAGAUGCGGUGUAACGCGGGUAUCUCACCUUCUGAAGGCAGGUUUCUCUUUCUGGCAAUGAGGUCAGGCAACUUCAGAGAAUGCAUUCUUGUUAGGUCUCUCUCCAUAACCAAAGCAGGAAUAGAAUACUCUUCAAAUGAAGGCUCGCUCUUGAGAUUUCUGUUACUUGAAUUUACAACCCUAUGUGCCUGACAGGCUCUGUUGCUUCUCCCCAUGAAAUGCUAUGAUAGCCUUUUCAACAGUGUGACUCAUAUCCCUAAAUGCAGGAGUGAAUUUUGACUUAGUACAAUGCAAGUGCUUUAUCUCAGCAAACAGCCUUGUGUAGAAAAUGCAGAGACGGUGGAGAGAGUGUCACUUACUGUAUCUAUUAAUCUUUGUCCUCAGAAGGACAGCAUUUGAGGUUGUUUGCCUGUUGGAGUUCUGUCUUCACUCCCAAUUCAAUCAGAUGAUGUCGGUUCUUUCUAAUUAGUGUUACCAUUUCAUGAAGGGCUGAAAACCAUUUUUAAAAGGAGGAACUAGUUUGUUCUUGUUUAUUAUUGAAACUGUAUUGCCUGUGGACAUCGAGCCCAUUUUAGUCUAAAUGGGUGAUGUACCUUUUUCUUUCUUUCUCUCUGUGUAAUGACUGUGAGAAAUUCUGCUUACUGCAAGACCCACAGUUCACACAGUUACUGGUGACUGCCAAACCUAAGGGUAGGAAAAAAUCCUUCAUGGGUUGUUGGUUUUUUUUGGUGUUUUCAUUAUGUAAGAUAACUUGCCAUACUACCUCCUAGUCUGUACCUGUCUGAGAGAAUAUAAGGAGUAAUUUAAAGUGAAGCAGUAUGUUUAGUGAAAACUCUUUAGUGCUCUUUUUAAGGUUUACGGAUUGUUUUCUCUUUCUGUUAGACAGAAUGUGAAUUUAUUUUGUAUGAGUGUGUAAGGAUUAAUUAAUAUAUGCUUCCCUUUCCUGAGUGGUUAAUCCAUCUUGCUGACUAGGAAGAAGCCAGCUUGUACAGCCUGGACUGGAAAGAUGCUGAAAGACAAAGUGGCUGAAUAGUGAAUAUAAGAAGAUCAGGUUGUUUAAAGUCCAGAAACUAAACUGCCUAAAACUUGGGAAGCAGCCAGCAACCUGGAGUGCAGAUCAUCAAAAAUCCUUAAUCUGCUUCAUGAGUGCCAGCAGAACUCACUUGUUUAUCCUGAUUUGGAACCACAGCAAUACUGCUGCAGCCACUUGGCACUGAACAUCAGGAGUAGCUGCUGAAGAAGUGACCUCUGGAUUGUAGUCAUCAAUGACAACAAGCUACUGCAGUCAGUGGAAGCUGCAAGCGUGCUGUGAGCAUUAAGUUGAUACACUGGAAAGCAACUCUGGUGUUUGGAUGGAAGCUUUUCUCUUGGCAUGGCAUGAAGCUUUGUGAGUAACAGACCUUACAAACUGAAGCCUUGCUCUUUCAGAUGAUCUCCAAAAUGUUGUUCCAUCUCUAAGCCAAGUAUUUGGUGGACUGUUUUCUUCUUAUGGAGAUUAAAGUUCCAAUGCAAAGGGGAAGAAACAAAGGCUGAAGUAUUUAAAUCAUACUCGAUAAAGAAAAUCUAAAAAAUCUGAUACACACCAAAAUCAUUCUGUUCUCUAACGAUAUGUGCUUCUUGGUAUGUGGUUAUAUAAAAAUGAAGAAAGGAUGUUAUGCAAAUCAGUGUUUUUUAGUUUGACACUCACUACGCAGCCACCUGUUAAAACAUAACGGUAUGGAUGAGUCCCAGUACGAGAUAUGAAAGCUUUGCAGCUUCUGAUGUUUGCUAACCUUCAGAAAGCAGAUUUUGUUAUCAAAGUAGAAUUCGAGAGCCUGAAAAAAUAAGUGUGUAUGAACUUUGAAAGUAGUACAUAGGCUGGAAAAUUGAGUUGUGCUUGAGCCAGAUGGAGACCAGCCAGGUGACUCUUGUAGAAAAUUUCACUUCCUUCGUACUUCUGAUCUACAAAUGUGGACUAAAUGUGAGUUUACAAACAUUAUUUUCAUCUGACUUUAGAUUUAAAAGUAUGAAAAAAGCUUAUUGACAUUCUUUGCAAGAACACUUGGCUAGUAGCCUACACUCAGUAUCAAUAAACAUACUUCCUAAUGCAUUGUCAGACCAGUGAGAGGAGUUUGUUCUCAAAAUACAUGUGGAGUGACUACAUGGAAGUUGCUGAAGUCUACUAAGGAUAUUUAAUUGUACCUCAUCUGUCAUUUGUGGUUAGAUAUGUGGAAGUACAGUAUUUCUUAGUAUCUCUGUCUACAUGAGUCAGUGCUCAAAACAUUUUGAAGACAGUGGCUGUUUUGGAACAUGUGAAAGUAUUAAAGUUCUGCAAAAUUUAAGUUUAAAGGAACUCUGAAUUGGUGCUCGGUGAUGUUUACCAACUUAAGUCGUUCAUGAGAUGGUAGAUGUUGGUUCCUCCCUUAGCACAGACCCACAGUGUCUUGUGCAAAGCUAGCGUUGUGUCUUAUCUCUAAUGACUAUGGAGAGCUGUAGAACUGGUCACACAUGUGAAUGUAUGCACAUGUAAUGGGAUACUUCUUUUUGUUGCGCUAUAGGCAAGACCCUUAUAGUGUACAUUGAUACAAGUGUUUGGAGUGCUUAGAGAUCUGACUGUAGAGAUAUAUUUUUUUUGAGGUUGAUGUAUCAGUAAGGGUAGCAAUAAUAGUGAGGAAUAGUAUCUGAGGGGGUUUCCACUUAUCUUGGAGAAUUUAUUGAAGAAAUAUCAUAAAACGGGAAGUCUAAUCACUGGCUGCAGGUUUCUCAUAAAGGAAAAACCCAACUUGUUCCUCACUCAGGGUGAAAGCUCUGCCGCUUCUAAGAAUACCAGGAAAUGCCAAAAACUCCUUGACAAACAGUUUUCCUCAAUUGAUGUUUACAGUCCAAUUUGUAUAUGAGAAUUUAUUAGUUUAUUAGGCCAAGUGUGGCUUGGCCAUGAAAACUCACUUUUAUCUGUUGACAUAUCAAUCAUAAUGUUGAUUUAAUAGUAUUUACUGUUCUUUAUCUGGUGGUUUUUUUUCAGUCUUUCGUGACCUGGUGUGUUCAGCCAUUCAGUUAGUUAAGCCCUUGUCUUUUCAGGAUAAUUUUCUAGCAUCUUGUUGUCUGUCCAAUGUGUGUUUUGUUAACUCUACCUUGGGAUUGCAUUGAAUUUUUUUCUUUUUACCUCAAGUCUUCAUUUGGUGCAUUUGUUUUCUUUCUCACCUUUUAAUUUCUUGAUUAACUUAACGCUUCUGUCUUUCUGUUAUAGUGAUUUUUUUCUCAGGUUUUCAAGUUUUUCCCCCUCUUUCUUACAGUUGUUUUCUCUACAAUUUCCUUCCCGUAUCUGUUAUUCUGUAAGUACAUAAAUUGCAAUG
This is a non-coding RNA of Meleagris gallopavo (turkey), 3485 nucleotides long. Lineage: Eukaryota; Metazoa; Chordata; Aves; Galliformes; Phasianidae. The record is from RefSeq and is a predicted model, not a curated record.